AACCUUUCUGUGCCGCAGAAUAAAGUGCAGUGUAAAUCUAAGGCAGAAUGUUACACUUAUCCUUGUGUGCUAAUCAAAGGUGAGUAGCUAGAUUUGAAAUUCUUAGGAAUUUUCCAUAGGAAAAGAUACUGACAAUGUAAAGGGGAGGUGCUGUAGGUCAGUAGCUUAAAACUUGUUGAAAUAUAUAGGUGACCCAGUUAGAAAUCAGAGCAAGAGGUGAGUGUUUCUUUGGACAGCAUUUUUAUGUGAGUACAAUGAAGUUAGAGAAAGAAAGGUCUGAUUAAGGUGCAUGAAAGAAAUGAACAAAAAGGAAAAAUAGCGCCUAUAAAUGAUGAGUGGACAAGUUCUGAUUCUCAGAGCUAGGAACAGUCCUGAUUUAUUACUUCUGCAGUAGUAGUUCUGGUUCUGUCAUCUGUUUCACACUACUCCUAGUAUUUCAAAACUGCAUUUUUUAGCCCUGCAGAGACAAGAUUUCUGCACUGGAAUCAGUGUCUGUUUGUGCUCAGCUCAAGUUAGAAUGUCACCAGCAGCAUCUGCCUGAAGUUUCACCGGUUUUGCAGAUCAGAAUAAGGGCUCAGAUACCAAGGAAAAUACUGUGAGACCAGCUGAGUGCCACAGAGGGUGUUGAUGGACAGCUGCAAGUUGGCAGUUACAGUGCUACGAAGGAAUUCACUGUGGAAGGCUGAACUUUCCAGAUUUACUAGAUAAAUUUGUAUGUUGGCUUAGGUCAUUAGUAAGUGAGAUUUACAAUGCUUCACAAGAGCAGAAGGUUGGAUGUCAGACUGGGGCCUUUCUGUCACGGUGCGAAGAUGGCUGACUGCAGUGGCUGCACUGCCAGUGGGACUCAGCGCCUCUCCCACAACCCGACCAGGCCUGGAUGCGUUUCAAAAGCUGCUCCUCUUUCCCCUCAUGUCAACUGUAGAAGAGGAGAACUCCUCAAUUUGCUACUGAGAUGUCUGAUCCUGCCAGCUUUCCUGUCUCCUCAAAGCUUCCCAGCCAUGUUCUUCUACCUCUGAGAACCUGCUGCUUUGGUCAGAAGAAGAAGAACAAAUGCUCAUUAGGGUCGUUUCUAGCAUUCCUGGCUUACAUCCAGUCUCCAAAAGCCCAACCAGAGCAGAAGACAACAGUUCCAUUUUGUAGAGAUCCCCAACCUGAGGGCCAUGACCCAAGCAUGCAGGCGGUGCUAGCCAGCCUUGGGCAGCCCAUGGUGUGCAUAUGCAAGUGACAACCAGGAACACGGGGAGACAGCAGGAGAAGGAAGUGGAAAUAAAGUGACCGUGGCAGUGCCAGGCUGGAUCAGCAAUGUUAGCAUGGGGCUCCUAGCAUGAAGAACUCCUUUUGUUUGCAGAAAUUAUCCAUGUUCAGGCUCCCCUGGACAUUGCAUUCAGCCCAUCAGUUCCAGGGGCCAUGCUUGGACAUCCAUUGAUCCUCUGGAAAUUCAUGCCUAGAGGACCUUCUGCUCCACUCCUGACUUGUGCCAAGCUUUGUGAAGGGCUUGGGAAAAUGGGGUUGAUGGACCAACUCAGAAAUGAAAAGAUACUAAGAGGUGGUGACACUUACCAGAAGGACCAUCCAUAGUCCCAGGAAUGUGGCCU
This is a non-coding RNA of Meleagris gallopavo (turkey), 1595 nucleotides long. The record is from RefSeq and is a predicted model, not a curated record. Lineage: Eukaryota; Metazoa; Chordata; Aves; Galliformes; Phasianidae.